GACGAACCGGGCGAACGUUGUUCGGAAUCACUGGGCUUAAAGGGCGCGUAGGCGGGUUCUCAAGUCCGGGGUGAAAUCCCACAGCUCAACUGUGGAACUGCCUCGGAUACUGGGUGCCUCGAGGGUGGUAGGGGUAUGCGGAACUAUCGGUGGAGCGGUGAAAUGCGUUGAUAUCGAUAGGAACUCCGGUGGCGAAGGCGGCAUACUGGACCACUUCUGACGCUGAGGCGCGAAAGCCAGGGGAGCAAACGGG
This 253-nucleotide ribosomal RNA is filed under the name uncultured bacterium. Its description in RNAcentral is "partial 16S ribosomal RNA". It matches the Rfam family "Bacterial small subunit ribosomal RNA", at positions 524 to 776 of the family's 1533-position model. The record is from RNAcentral.